Long non-coding RNA from Salvelinus fontinalis (brook trout), 742 nucleotides. RefSeq lists it as uncharacterized. Lineage: Eukaryota; Metazoa; Chordata; Actinopteri; Salmoniformes; Salmonidae. The record is from RefSeq and is a predicted model, not a curated record. The transcript has 2 exons.
CACCCUCCAACACCUCCACGGCCAGAGGCUGGAAUUGUUUACAUGACACCGCUAAUGCGAGCAGCCGCGCAUUACUAAUUGCCUUUGCCGGUGGUAGCUGGUCCCCUGCAGGAAGGUGAGGUACCGGAGGUCCCCGGCGACAUCGAGGGGUCCCCGGCGUAUAGGAUACGAGCCAUUCUGGACUCAAGACGCCGGGUGAGAGGCCUGCAGUACCUCGUGGACUGGGAGGGGUACGGUCCGGAGGAGAGAUGCUGGGUACCGGUGGGGGACAUUUUGGAUCCGUCCCUCUUGAGGGAUUUUCACCGCCUCCAUCCGGAUCGCCCUGCUCCUCGCCCUCCGGGUCGUCCUCGAGGCCGGAGUCGGCGCGCUGCGGGAGCCGCGCGUCGGGAGGGGGGUACUGUUACGAAUCCCGCCGAGGAUGGUGCCUCUUCCCGUUCGGGCGGCAUUCGGCGGUCGUCGUCUCCGGUCUACUAGCUGCCACCGAUCCCCUUUUCUGUUUUCUUUUGAGUUGGUCUAAUUUGUUUCACCUGUUUUGUGUUUAGGUUAGGGGGUAUUUAAACCCAGUUGGCCCGCCGACUUUUGUGCGGGCUUGUUUUUCUGUUUCGUGUUGGUGGUGUUCGUUAGUGGAUUUCUGUAUACUUUCUCUUGGAAUGUACUUUUACGCGCCCGGUGUUUUGUGUGGCGUCGCCUUUCAUGUAUUUGAUUUUUAGUGGAGGAAUAAAUAUCCACGUAUUGAAGAUUA